ACGGAAGGCAGCAGUGGGGAAUAUUGCACAAUGGGGGAAACCCUGAUGCAGCGACGCCGCGUGGGUGAAGAAGUUUUUCGGAAUGUAAAGCCCUAUCAGCAGGGAAGAUAAUGACGGUACCUGACUAAGAAGCCCCGGCUAACUACGUGCCAGCAGCCGCGGUAAUACGUAGGGGGCAAGCGUUAUCCGGAUUUACUGGGUGUAAAGGGAGCGUAGACGGAAUAGCAAGUCUGAAGUGAAAUGUAGGGGCUCAACCCCUGAACUGCUUUGGAAACUGUUGAUCUUGAGUGCCGGAGGGGCAGGCGGAAUUCCUGGUGUAGCGGUGAAAUGCGUAGAUAUCAGGAAGAACACCGGUGGCGAAGGCGGCCUGCUGGACGGUAACUGACGUUGAGGCUCGAAAGCGUGGGGAGCAAACAGGAUUAGAUACCCUGGUA
RNAcentral lists this ribosomal RNA (434 nucleotides) under uncultured Marvinbryantia sp. RNAcentral describes it as "partial 16S ribosomal RNA". It matches the Rfam family "Bacterial small subunit ribosomal RNA", at positions 341 to 792 of the family's 1533-position model. The record is from RNAcentral. Lineage: Bacteria; Bacillati; Bacillota; Clostridia; Lachnospirales; Lachnospiraceae.